Molecule: long non-coding RNA, 3095 nt
Filed under: Papio anubis (olive baboon)
Lineage: Eukaryota; Metazoa; Chordata; Mammalia; Primates; Cercopithecidae
Description: lncRNA (ENSPANG00000041669.1)
Source: RNAcentral
CACCGUACAUGUGGUCAGUGGCAGAAUCCUUUAUAAAUGAAGAGAAUGGUCAAGAUGUGAAGGACAUUAGCACUGGAUUCUCCUAAGAGAUGCCUAACCCCCUAAGGUGGGUUUGAAAAGCCCAAGAAGAGUUUCCGAAGUACUCAGUGGAAUUCUAUCCUGAAGUCUUUGAAUGUGCAAAGCCUUGAAGGUGCAAAUAAAUUGGAUCGUGUGUCGACAUGAGAGCGCUAAUAACAGGUCUUGCAAGGUGUCCCAUGGUCUGAGAGUCAUGGGUAGCAGCCAGUGCUUUGUACCUAGUUUCUUGUUGUGAAGAUGUAUGUGAUGGAAACUGAUACUGAGCACAGAAAUGAUGGGAGUGGGAAAUGGUUUAGGAGAAGGUAAGGCUGAGAAAACCGUUCUGUAAUGCAUCAAGAUCAGGCAUGAGACCAACUCACUAAGCACAGUCCACUAAUCGCAGAUGUCUUUGGCCAUCAUUCAUUUCUUCUUGCUGUAUCCUUAAUGUGGGGUUUUCAGCCCUUCUUGGCUGGGAGAAAUCUCAUUUUGCAAAUCUUGGCUCCAAUGUCUUCUCCAUCUUUUCUGUGAGGGCUUCCCAUGUCACAGUGGUAACAAAAAAAUUCUCUUUUUGCUUCCAUGUCGUGGAACUUUGCUUACCUCAACUUAUUGAUUUUCAUAUUGUUUAAUGUUUUAGUUAAUUAGUUGGAUACCUUUCUCUCUUAAGAUUUUAUAAACUCUUUAGAUCUAGACUGUCAUCUCUAUAGCCCAUAUCAUCUAGUCUAGGGAUGCAUUUGCCUGUAAGCAACAGAAAUCUGCCUUAAGGUAACUUUACCAGGGAGUUUGCUUCCCUUACCUCAUAAGAAGCUUUGGUUAGGAGGCAGCUGAAGUCAUUGGUUCAGCAGCUCAGCAACGCCUAGACUAAAUCUCCAAAAUUGUCUUGGCAUUGCCGUCUUGGUCACAAGGUGGUAGCUGCUCAGCCAGCCUUUCUCUGCAUUCCAGGCAGAUAGGAAUAGGGUUCUGAAGAGACAAGCAGCAUUCCUUUAUAUCUCAUAGGUCAGAACUGAGUCACCUGGCAAUUCCUAUCUGUAGCAAAGGUAGGGGUGUUGAUUUUUUUCUUUUUUCUUUUUUUUUUUUGCAGACACUGUAGUAGUAAAUGGAAAAGGAAAGGAGAUUGGAUUGGAUUUUGAAUCUGCCAUCUGCCAAAGGCUAACAGCAUGCUGAGUGCUUGUGCUUGUGGAAGGACUUGACCAUUCAGCUGUGUUCAAGCAGAAACUCUUCAUCACAAGGUCUUCUGGUGCAGGAGGAACAAAGACUAACACUUUAGAAAGACACUUGCUUUAGUGUGACAUAAAACCAUAAAUUAAGCUUUAAUUUGGCAACUGCUUUUCAAAGAAGAGCUUCAUAAAUCAUCACGCAUCCUUAUCAUCCUGUGCUUUAAUUUUUAAUGGCACACAUAAUGAAAUCAACAAAACAAAUGUGGUAAGAGAAGGCACAGAAAUCAGAUGAGAAUAUGGGAAAAAAGGAAGGCACUCAUGAGCGAUCCAUGUAUACUGUGCAGGAAGGUAGCGGGGAGGGAGGGAGGGAGGACUUGGAAGGCAGAAAGAAACUAAAAACCUCCUGAUGUGAGCAGUGGAAUCACAUGCAUUUUGAUAAAAGGGUCACAUGUUAAAAUGUGAUUUUAAGAUUAAUCUGCUAGAACAAUGCAAUAUUAUUGUUUCUUUUCCAGACCACCUGAAAACUCAGAUCAAAUGGAGUAAUGAUUUGAAAUUUAGUUGACCCUUUCCUUUUGGUCUUAACACUUUCCCAAAUAGUCUUGUAUAAAGUUCAUAAACUUUUCUUUUUGAAUUUGUGCUUGUAUUUCUUUUUCUUUCCCAAAUAUUCAUAUUGAGAUUUUUACCCUGCAACCACGGGGUUAAGCAGAACACAUUAUUUUAUUUUCUUCUUCAGUGAGUGUGUCAAUUUGAACAAGACUGGCCAAAUUGCUUUCUUUCUUUCUUUUUUCUCCUAAAUCAAACUGUCUAUUCUGAAGAGGAGCACGUUGUGGUUCUAUUAAACAAAAUAACACGUUCUGCUCCGAUAUUUAACAGGGCGAAGCUCAGCCUCACCGUCUCUCUGCUUCACUGACAAGAGAGCUUACUGAGGAACAGUUUUCCCCCUUUGAGAGGUCUCGAGAGGGUCUGUCACAUUUUUUUUUUUUCUUUUUUUGUUCCCAGCGAUUUCUGUUGCUGCAAUGGGGCUUGGCUGUGAUAAAUGACAUAAGCUUGUUGUACCUUACAUGCAAAUUCAGAGAAAGAAAAAUGGGAAGUAGAAAGAGGAGAUUUCACUUUCCUUAUCUAAAAUAAUCAGCUUUACUUAAUUGAUUUGUGGGCCUUUUCUCAUGAAACAGUAAACCUAUUAGAAGAGAGACAAGAUAAUAAAUUAUGGAAAGAUCUUUGCAAAGGCUUGUCAUUGGUUAGUAAUGGUGACUGUAAGGACACAGGAUUGAUCACAUCAGGCUGGCUCUUGAUCCAUCUAGUCCAGUAGCCUGUCAUUGGCACUUGCACCAGGAGAAGUGAUUGGUCUUCACGAUGUUUCCAUUAAAAGUUGUUUAUCCCUAAACAUCCCACUAGACAAUUAAUGCUGUAACACCUAUGCAUUUGCUCAACUGCGGGUUUAUGUUUGUAAUUUCUACUACCUCCUGAGGAAAAUGACACAUUUUUUAUUGUUUGUGGGGUUUUGUCUGGCUUUACUAUACACUCAUAGAUGUUCUGAUUCUCCCUGGUAUUCUAAGCUUUAAGAAAUGGAUCAUACUUAGGAUCAUAGAGAUCAUACACAGUGGCUUAUGUCUGUAAUCCCAGUACUUUGGAGGCUGAGGUUGGCAGAUCACCUGAGGUCAGGAGUUUGAGACCAGCCUGGCCAACAUGGUGAAACCCCGUCUCUACCAAAAGUACAAAAAUUAACUGGGCAUGGUGGUGGGCACCUGUAAUCCCAGCUACUCAGGAGUCUGAGGCAGGAGAAUCUCUUGAACCUGGGAGGCGGAGGGUGCAGUGAGCAGAGAUUGUACCAUUUCACUCCAGCCUGGGUGACAGAGUGAGACUCUGUCUCAAAAAAUAAGAGAUCAC